GGUUUGACCGAGUGCCCUGGCUUGCCUGGGACUGAGGGGUUUACAGUGAUGAGAGACUUUCUGCGCUGGGCAAAUGAGGAUGGUUGAU
This 88-nucleotide microRNA precursor is filed under the name Otolemur garnettii (small-eared galago). RNAcentral's name for it is "miRNA (ENSOGAG00000023551.1)". Lineage: Eukaryota; Metazoa; Chordata; Mammalia; Primates; Galagidae. The record is from RNAcentral.